UCUACGGACCAGCCUAUUAGAGGGGGCACGAUAACCCUAUUAUAUUCAUACCUCAGUAUGAGAGGCGCGGAUGGAUAACUCCUGAGGUUAACACUUUAGAGUUCACUUCACGCUAAACCACCACGUGAGGGUGAACUCAGCCAACGCCAAGGAACGUCUAUGUUUUCAAAAUAAAAACAUGAUUUAUGCAUACAUAACUUUUUAACAGCCUUGGUGGACUCGGUUGGGAUAGCCCUCAGCCAAGGUAUCCCUGAUAACUGAGUAUGAGAAUGAUUUUGGCAUGAGCCAAAGUUUUAAGAAAUUCAUAAGCCAUGUUGAUUACUUGAUUUAUAUGAAUUGAUUUUAUUUGGUUGAAAUGAGUUGAAAGGUGAUGAAUUACAGUAUGUUAAACUAUUUUAUCUGUCUCCAUUUACUCAGCUUUAGAUAUUUUAGAUGGUAUUUGUUUACUCACUGGGAUUAUAUAGUCUCACCACCCUCUUUUCCACCCAUUUCAGGCUCAGGAUAGUCGGUAAAUAGCUCAUUUCAUUGAGGGCUACAGUUGGACUUGCAUCCUAAAAAACUGUAGGUUUACCGCUUUUGAUACUUUUGGUCGUUCAUGAGCUCACAUGUCACUGUAAAUUAAAUUUUAUACUUUGGUUACCUGGAUUACAGUAUGUAUGAAUUUAUUUAGCUUUUACGCUAUAAAAAUUAUUUACCGGUAACUCUAUAAAUAUUGUUUUAUAAGAAAAUAUAAUAUUUUAUUGAAUAUUUUUAAUAUAUUUAAAUAGUUAUAAUUUCACUUUAAAUGAAUGUUUUAGAUAUCUAAACUUAUUUUUGAUUAUGAAAUAUGUGUUUUUCACUCGCAUACUACAUUUUUAGCUAGUUUCGAGAUUUUCAAGGAAAAAUGAUCAAAAAGCCCCUGUGAGCGAAAAAUUAUUUUUCUAUUGUUUUGAUUUGGAAAUAGUUUAUAAUCUCUUAAAAUAUGAUACUUAACAACUGUUGCUCACAGGGGAGGUGCGAAAACUGAUAUUAAAGCCUUGCGGGGUUUCGGUUGGCAUUCUGGGUAGUGAAUGUCUAUCCAAACAUCGCGACGGUUGUCACGGGCUCGAGGAGAGUACCGGGUCGUGACAAUUAAAGUGGUAUCAGAGCUUUUUGUUUUAAAGAUUAGAGCUUUUGGGUUUAAAGUUGUUUUAAAGUUGUUUUAAAUUUGUUUUAAAAUUUACAGUGUCAAUGUGGCCCUGAGUUAAGUUAGGUUAGACUAAAUAGAAUGCAUGUAUUUGCAUGUAAAGCCUGAGGUUAUUUAAAUUUGCCUUAUUCCUUCUUAUAGAUUAUCAUGCCUCCUCGACGUGAACACCCACCUCUCACUAGAUCGGUUGGGAAGGGAAGAGGUCAUUCUCAACAUCGUCAGCUAGAUCCUAUAGAGGGGGAUCAACUGCGUCUACUAUUCAGGCAGCAUCUGCUGCUGAGUAGACCAAGACUCCUCCACCACCUCUGCCACCUGCUGGUAUUCCUGUCAUGCCUCUUGAGGUAGCUCAGGCAUUGGCAGCCUUCUUUACCGCUAUUGUUGGCCAAGCUCAGGCUGGUCAAAUUCUUCCUACAGUUCCUUCAACUGUUCCUUUAGUACCACCACCCCACCUCCUGUCUCACCACCAGUGCUGGAUGUUUCUAAUUCUGAGAAGCUUAAAGAGGCUAGGCAACAUGGUUGCAUUUCUUUUAUGGGUGAGUCGGACGCAACCAUAGCUAAAGAGGUGGUGCAAAUGGCUUUAAGAGCUAAGAAGCUUGCAAAUGAAAAUAGGAGAAUGCGAGCUGAGUUAGCAAAAAGGAGAAAUUUGAGUGUAUCUUCUAGUCAGCCACCAAAAAGGGGCAAAGACUCAUCUGUUUCAGGAAGUACUACUACUGUUUCAUUAACAUUGUCCCGACCUCUAUUUUCACAAACACAACAAAGGCCUCUGAGAUUUAACAGAUCUGCGAUGACUAUUUCUGGGAAGAGUUUCGGAGGUUCUGAUAGAUGCAGAAAUUGUGGGAGAUAUCAUGUCGGGCUGUGUAGAGGGCCUGUACGAUGUUUUUAUUAUGGUCAGCCAGGUCACAUUAAGAAAGAUUGCCCACAGUUAGGAUGAGCUACGGUAGCUGCUUCAUCUCCAUCAACUCGUACGGGAUAUGCAAAUGAGAGAUUCCUCUGGAUUACAACCGAGACAGGGAUGAUUUUGACAUACCACCAAGGGUAGAUUAAAUAUGUUGAAAUUAGUGUUCUAAUAAAGUAGCUGUUUAAGUGACUGGAUGUAUAUGGGAAUCUUUUGGUAGGACAGAAGUGGACUAGCACUAUGACUAUUAAGGAAAGAUAUUUAUCUUAGUGGCAUGGUUGUUCAUCUUAAAUAAUUACUAAAGACUAAUGUUGAAAGUCAUUAAUGAUUCAAGCAAUUACAAAUCUAGCAAUGAAUAUAUUUUACAGUGUUAAGAAAUGGACACCGAUUAACGUGAUGAACUUUUGGAGUGAUAACCCUAGAUUUUGAGGAGGUAUAAAAGGUCAUUUGAAUUGAUGAUGUUUGUUGGGAAUUAUUACUUAUCAUAGUAUGUGAGUUUUUGAUAUGAUUCCGAAUGCAAAGCUAAAUAAAUAAAAUUCUGGUUUAUGGGACAAAUUGUAUUAGAGAAGAUGAUUCUCGAGCAAACACAUUGAACUAGGGGACUAUGUUAUAAUAAGCGGGUUCAGUGUGUUGUAAUUGCACAAGAUAAUGGGAGACAGUGUGGUAAGACUAACAAUCAAUCAUGGAGAUGUGAAAUUGGGAAUCUUAAUUGUAGUUAUAAUUCGAAAGGAUAUGGAAGAAAUCAAUGAGGCUCUAGAUGACAUUUUGAGCGAUUAAUGUGAUAAAGUCAAAGAUUUGUAAACUUGAGGGUGAAGGAAGUAUAAAAUGAUGCCAUAACAUUAUAGGAAGAUAAUCUAAUACAAAUAUGGUCCAUUAGAGAUAAAUGAAGGAACUUGAAAAAGAUAAAUUUUUUAUUAAUAAGGAUUGUGAGAAUAAAUGUAGUAAAAGAUGAACUAUUUUCGUGGUCUUUGUACUAGAAGUUAAUAAACUAUUGGAGUUAUAAGACAAGGAAGAUGAUGAAAAAUGGAUAAUGAAAAUAGUGGUAUACCAUAAAUAAUAAGUAAUUAUGCGUAUGAUGAUGUAUAUAUUAUGAAUUUGUUACACCAUAGGGGAAAGAUGUCCAAAGGUGGGACUUGAAAUAUGUGGAUUUUUGGAUAUGCUCUCGGAAGGAACUUCUGCAUCCUAAAUUUGAGAUAUCUUGACCUUAUAACUGCAAGGACGAGAUGUAAUAAUUAAGUGAAUUAUCCACUUUAUAAAUGUAAUUGGUUAAGAAACCUUUAUGGCUAGAAAGCACGAGCAAAUUGGGAGUGGCAUGAAAAUAAAACUCACAAGUUGAAGAAUGGUCAUUGGUUUUGAUACUAAGCUUUGUUGUUUGGAGUCUUAAGUGCAUUGGGGAGGUAUUAAGAUAAAGAUGAUGAGUGAAAUUACAAAGUUUCUUUAUUGCCUUAUAUAUUGGCAUGUAAGAGAAAGAAAAGUUAGAGAGUUUUUGAGAUGGCUACAUAAAAAUAAAUUAACAUGUGGAGUGUUAAGAUGAAUAAUAUGUUGACUGAAGUCAAAUCUUAAGAAAUAAUGAAGACAAGAGAUUAAGCCUUGUUAAAGACUAAAGAGAAAGCGAGUGAAAAGUUAGAUGAAUGUAUGAGAUAUUGAUAAGAGAUGUCAAUACCAAGUGAUGAAAGUGUGAAUAAAGAUUUCAAGAAUGAUACAGUGAAUGAGUUUAUAUAGAAUAUUGUUACGAGAAUUUACAAAUCUUUUCUUGACCUUGUUGAAAGGAAAGGAUUAGUGACAACACAAGUAAACUAGGUGACAUGCUAGAAACCCUUGGAGAUAAAUUGAAGCAUGAGUAGUAGGGCAUGCCUUUAUGGAAAUUAUAUGCUCGGAGUAUGAAAGAGCAAAUAAGUGAUUAAGUGUUUCAAGAAUGUUUAAACGCCUUUGAGAAAGAAUUAUAAGUUAUACGUGAUGAGCAUAAGAUGCAUGACUUUGAGACUUGCUAAGGAGCCAAACGGUUAAGUCACGAGUUAAGUGAUCACCUGCUGUGAGACAUAAGUUUAAGAUAGAUAUCCCCAAGGAAAUACUCAAGAGAAGUUCUGCCAUGGAUCUCAUGAAAGCAAGCACUAAGUUAUGUGAUCAUAAAAAGGAAGCCAUAAGCUGAGAGUGAUAUUUGUAUUGACAUUAAAAAGUACUUGAGGAGGACAUAGUUUCAAGUUUUACAAUUUCAAGUGCAAUCUGUAAAUUGGCUAAGGGAGAAUGAUGUUAUGUUCAUAUGAAAGAGUGGAACAAAGGAUGAUUGAAGUUGACCUUGAUAAUGAAGUCGGAUAAUGAAACUUUUCUAAUAUAUUAUGGAAAUUGGAAUUCAAAAAUGCUUGAGGCAUACAUGAUUUAAAUGAGUCUGAGUUUUAAGUGACAAAUCAAUAUCGGAAUGCAAGAAGGAUACAAGGUAAUGUAGAGGCAUGAAGGAUAAUUGAGGAAAAAGGAUGACUCUCAGGAAUUGUGGUAUUGCAUCAGAUGCAAUGAUCAAGUUAAGAUAAAUCUUUGAGGCAUCAACAGGAUUAUAAAGCAUACAUGCAUAAUAGAUUAUAAUUCAAUGGAGAUGACAUUGUGAUGCAAUGAUAUAUAGUAUAAGGAAACUUAAGCAUAUAAUUGGAAAUGAUAAGAAGAGAGUAUAAGUAUGUAAAUGAUGUGGAACUAUGCACAGGCAUGAUGAGAAUUUGUAUGAAUUAUGAAGAUUAUUCUAUUGAAUCUUGGUUAUGGAUGGGAAUGAACAAAGAGAAAUUAGUGGAAGGUAUUUGAAAACAGAGACCCGUAUACUUAAUGAGGAAUAUGGACAUUUGAAUGUGCAUGUAUACGUGUGUGUGGAGUUAGUGAUGUACCCAACUAAAAUGAAGAAUGGUUUUAGUGGUUCUAGAUUUGAACUCAAUCUAUUUGAUGAUUUGUAUAGAUAAUGUAACGAUCAAGAAUCUUAUCAGAAGUCGAUUUAUGACGACUUAAGGAAUUUUGGGGAAAUAGUUAAGGGAAUGUAAUCUAUAGUGCGAUUAAGCCAUAUGAGAUGGAUUAAUAGGAUUAAGAAGAUUGAAAUUUCCUAAAUGCAAGGUAAACAUGAAGUAUGUGGAAAUAAUUGAAGCUAUUAAUCUUCCCUAACGUUGAGGAUAUGUAUAAGAAUGAGUAUGGCAUGUUGAUGAUACUAUAAACUACACAAUAUUGUAUAAGGAUGGAAUGAAUGAAUGAAAGUCGAGAAGUUUGAUAUGGAAUGAAGUAAUAAGAUAGAGAUUGGUAUACAUAAAUAAGUAUAAAAUGCGAUCGAAAUUGGUAUGAUUGAGAUGGAGUUAUGGUUCAAGUUUAAUGAUAGUAAUAGAAGCAUGCUUGGUGUCUCGAUAUAAGAAAUCAUAAUUGUGAAGGUUACUGUUGAUCUGAUUUUAAAGGAUAAUAAAAGACAUAAGUGAAGUACUCGAGUUGAAUUGGAGGUAAAUGAGGUGAACAAAUCAAAAUUCCCUAUAAAAGGGAGGACAUAAGAAGUCGAGCAUUAGAUGAGAAAACAAUAUCCCCACCUUUUCUCUGAGUUCAGUAAAUGAAAUUUUGAGGUCAAAAUUUUAUUUUAAGGGGGGUAAUGCUAUUAAACCCAGCUCUACAAUAUGUUUAUUAUGUCAUUCCUACAUAAGAAUACAUGUUUGCUUACUUGGGUACCUUGGAAAUCGUUAAAGGACAGUAAUGUACCAAAUAGUACAAUUAAGUUGAAUUAAGCCUCACCUAGUCCAAAUAGAGAUUUUAAGAUGAAAUUGAAAAUUUUAAAACCCUAGAAGGACUUAAAGGAGUUCGAGAACCGAUUUGGAGUCAAAUUGAAAUUUUCAUGACCUAGGGGCAAAAUGGUCAUUUUACCACCCAAGGUUAAAAUUGGAAUGUUGGAAGAAGUUUUUGAUCAAGAUUGACUAUUUAAAACAUAAUUUGAGUUUGAGAAGUAAAAAUUUUUAAUUUCGACAUUUUUUCGAGCAUAAGGGCAAAAUAGUCAUUUGCCACCUCAAGGGUAAAAUUGUAAUUUUACACCACCCAACACUUGUCCAGCACAUGGAUUUUACCCAAUAUUAUCAUGGAUAAUUGAGGAAAUUUAAAUGGUGGAGAGAGAUUGCUUAAUGGGUAAGUAUGACACAUGGACCAAUGGAAUGGUGACAUGUGUCAAAUUUUCAUCCAUUUAUUACUUGGCUUAAAUAUCAACAUAAAAUCAGCCCAUUUCUCUUCAUAUGGCCGGCCAAAGCAAGAACAAAGGAAGAAAAGAAAGAACAAGAACCCUAGGGUGAAAAUUCAAGAGAAAUUUGGUGGAUUUCAAGUAAUCAAGCAAUCAAAGGUAAAAUUUCUUGAUUUUGACUUGUGAUCUACCUUUCCCAUGCAUUCUUUUGCAUUUUCCAUGGUUGAAUCACAUGAUUUCAUGAUGGGUAUCUUGCUGGCUGAACACUUAGAGAAAGGUUUUGAUGCUUGAUUUGGUUAGAUUGCAAUGUAUUUUAGUGUUUUUAGUUGAUUGGUGAUGUGUAGCAUGAAAAUCAAGUAAGAAAAAUUCAUGUUCUUCCAUCACCCAUCAUUGGCCGAAUUCUCCAUAUGGAAUAUUGAGGAUGAUUUUGAUUUUAUUUCAAGCGAUUUGGUUAGGAAUUAGUGAUUUAUGGUGUGAGAAUCAAGUAGGAAAAAUUAUAGUGUUGAUGCACCCACCAUGGCUGAAUUUUACAAGAGAAAAUGUGAGGAUGAUUUUGCCAUAUUUCAAGUUAUUUAAUUUGUGUUUGAUGAUUUGGAGUAUUGGGAGAAAAAUGGAAUUAUUUAGAGUUGAAUUGGACAUUUUGUCCAAUUACUCAGGUGAUAGAUCGAAUUAGGCCAAUACCGUUUUAUUUAGGGACAUAAUUGAAUUUAUAUUGAACACUGUAUUUAAAUAGUUACCCGAGUAUUUCACAUCCUAUUUCAUGCAUUAGUAUAAAGCCUGAAUUGGUUUUAUGACAAUUUAGCACAAAUGUAGUAAAUGGCUUAUUGUGCAUUAUGUCUAGGUGGUGAGCAUUCUGGCAAAACUAAAAAGAUAGUACCCGAGGAUCAAGAAUCAGAGUACUCGGAACUCAAUUUCCAUUACAGUGAGUAACCUUACUAUCAUCUUAAUUAUCUAAAGUGGUUUUUAUUCGAUUCUGUGAUUUUAUGAAAAAUGAGUUUAAAUGGUAAAUCUUUAUGUUUUAUAAGCAAAAUGUGAUUAAAUGAAAAUAAUUUUAUAAAAUUGUCUUGAAAUUGAAAGAUGGUUUUGAAAAUGGAGUAAUUGGAGACUAAUUGUUGUGUUAUAAAUCAUGGUUUGAAUUGAAUGGCUUAUGAUAAUAUUGGCAUCAAUGGUUGAAUUGGUAUUUGUGUUGAAAAUGUAUAAACUGUUGUUUGCCUUGAUAGAAUGGAUAAUGAUAAAAUUGCCAUGUCAUGCUGUUAAAUUUUAUUGAAUUUGUGGGUUAUUGAUUAGUCGCUGCAGUGGACGGGUUCCAUGGACUAGCCUAUUAGAGAAGGCACGGUAACCUUAUUAUAUUCAUACCUCAGUAUGAGAGGCGUGGAUGGAUAACUCCUGAGGUUAACACUUUAGAGUUCACUUCACGCUAAACCACCACGUGAGGGUGAACUCAGCCAACGCCAAGGAACGGCUAUAUUUUCAAAAUAAAAACAUGAUUUAUGCGUACAUAACUUUUUAACAGCCUUGGCGGACUCGGUUGGAAUAGCCUUCGUCCAAGGUAUCCUUGAUAAUUGAGUAUGAGAAUGAUUUUAGCACGAGCCAAAGUUUUAAGAAAUUCAUAAGCCAUGUUGAUUACUCGAUUUAUAUGAAUUGAUUUUAUUUGGUUGAAAUGAGUUGAAAGGUGAUGAAUUACAGUAUGUUAAACUAUUUUAUCUGUCUCCAUUUACUCAGUUUUAGA
Molecule: long non-coding RNA, 7963 nt
Filed under: Theobroma cacao (cacao)
Lineage: Eukaryota; Viridiplantae; Streptophyta; Magnoliopsida; Malvales; Malvaceae
Description: long non-coding RNA (TCAC_LNC002380)
Source: RNAcentral